Molecule: small nucleolar RNA, 113 nt
Organism: Salvia miltiorrhiza (redroot sage)
Lineage: Eukaryota; Viridiplantae; Streptophyta; Magnoliopsida; Lamiales; Lamiaceae
Product: small nucleolar RNA Z278
Exons: 1
Source: RefSeq, a predicted model, not a curated record
CUCAGUGAUGAAAUUUCCAUUUCUGAGGUGUAGUGAUAUUGAGACCCUGUUUUACAGGGAGAACCCCUUGAUGUUGCUACAUCUUUCCAUGAAAAUUCGGAAAUGUCUGAGAU